This 94-nucleotide ribosomal RNA is filed under the name uncultured Azospirillum sp. RNAcentral describes it as "partial 16S ribosomal RNA". It matches the Rfam family "Bacterial small subunit ribosomal RNA", at positions 339 to 432 of the family's 1533-position model. The record is from RNAcentral. Lineage: Bacteria; Pseudomonadati; Pseudomonadota; Alphaproteobacteria; Rhodospirillales; Azospirillaceae.
CUACGGGAGGCAGCAGUGGGGAAUAUUGGACAAUGGGCGCAAGCCUGAUCCAGCAAUGCCGCGUGAGUGAUGAAGGCCUUAGGGUUGUAAAGCG